Molecule: ribosomal RNA, 254 nt
Filed under: uncultured bacterium
Lineage: Bacteria
Description: partial 16S ribosomal RNA
Rfam family: Bacterial small subunit ribosomal RNA
Source: RNAcentral
UACGUAGGUGGCAAGCGUUGUCCGGAAUUAUUGGGCGUAAAGCACGCGCAGGCGGUCCUUUAAGUCUGAUGUGAAAGCCCACGGCUCAACCGUGGAGGGUCAUUGGAAACUGGGGGACUUGAGUACAGAAGAGGAAAGCGGAAUUCCACGUGUAGCGGUGAAAUGCGUAGAGAUGUGGAGGAACACCAGUGGCGAAGGCGGCACUCUGGGACGUGACUGGACGCUGAGACGCGAAAGCGUGGGGAGCAAACAGG